AGCGAACGCUGGCGGCAGGCCUAACACAUGCAAGUCGAACGAUCCUUCGGGAUAGUGGCGGACGGGUGAGUAACACGUGGGAACGUGCCCUUUGGUUCGGAAUAACUCAGGGAAACUUGAGCUAAUACCGGAUGAGCCCUUCGGGGGGAAAGAUUUAUCGCCAUUGGAGCGGCCCGCGUUGGAUUAGCUAGUUGGUGGGG
RNAcentral lists this ribosomal RNA (200 nucleotides) under uncultured bacterium. RNAcentral's name for it is "partial 16S ribosomal RNA". It matches the Rfam family "Bacterial small subunit ribosomal RNA", at positions 29 to 257 of the family's 1533-position model. The record is from RNAcentral.